GGGAACUCACUGGCUUCGGGUUCCAUCGGAACUCCGAAGUUAAGCGAGUUCGGGCGGGAGCAUGCUCAGGAUGAGCGAGUUCGGGCGAGAGCAUUCCCAGGAUGGGUGACCCACUGGGAAGUUCUCGUGUGAGUUCCCA
This 139-nucleotide ribosomal RNA is filed under the name Malus domestica (apple). The record is from RNAcentral. Lineage: Eukaryota; Viridiplantae; Streptophyta; Magnoliopsida; Rosales; Rosaceae.